This is a long non-coding RNA of Nerophis ophidion (straightnose pipefish), 2250 nucleotides long. RefSeq lists it as uncharacterized. NCBI's taxonomy places the organism in Eukaryota, Metazoa, Chordata, Actinopteri, Syngnathiformes, Syngnathidae. The record is from RefSeq and is a predicted model, not a curated record. The transcript is spliced from 4 exons.
UUAUUACUGUCCAAGUUUUUGGAAAAUGGCUGAGAUAUAUCGUCCACAAUAAAAAAAUCUUCUGAAAAAAUGUCAUCAACAGAGGCCGGUGUUGCGACACCGGUGGGCGUUCCCCAAAUGACGUCAUCGCUUGUGUCAGAAAAAGUGUCAUGGCAGCUUAAGGAAUGAUUUGAAAAAAAACAAGCAGGAUUACCGGUAAUGACGGGUGAAUCCUGGACGGGGUGAAACUUGCUGUGUCCAUGGGGAGGAAUAAGUGGUGCUGGAACAUUACUGCCGCGCGGGGGACCUCUCCACUGGACCCCCCGCUUCUUCGGGGCAGCGCGAACGGCUUCGGAGGAGACUUCAGGCCCACAGUCGAGUCUUUCCUGCUCCCAAGCCACGAGCUCCAACCACAACCCUAAGUCGAAGGGUUCCUCCCGUGGUUUCGACGCGGAAAAACAACUUGAUGCUCGGAUCCUACUGUGAGGACUCUUCUUCGGCAUGGUAAUGCCGGUGUAGUUUUCCCGUGGAUGCGUCGGAGCAGAACACAGCAAAGAUCCGUGCCACGACUUCAAACUUGACACCUUAUUGGCUGGUUCUGAGACAAGAUCGAUUGCUUCAGUCUGACUCUGUUUGCUUCAGGAAAGAACCAGCGUCUUGUACAGUAGACAUUCGUCUUUUCCCGGCCCCGUAGCACCCACUGGAUCGGCGCCUAUGAUGUGGUUCACUUUGGUCUAGGUACUUCGACGAAUGAGACUCCAUCGGAUGUGAGAGCGAUGGGGUUCACCUCAGGUGGGAUAACAAAAAGAUCCUGGGCUGCAGAUAUGAUGUCAUCUGAAGCCAUCAACAAUGGAGGAGGGUUGCCAUUCCCGGGCCAGGUGGCUACCCCUCGGUCUAUUGGACAUUAUUAUCUGACUGCUUGUCUUGGCUACCUGGGACUGACACCUGCAACACAUGAUGGUCCGAUUGUAUUCCAGAAGAUGAUGAAAGUGAUAUUUGAAGAUGUUUUCCUUCAUCGCACUUUUGUUUUUUUCCUGACUUUAUUACCUUUAUGAACCACUUUUCUCUAUGAUAGAGAGAGAACAUUCUCACUCACAUUCACACACUACAAGCGGUAAGAAAAUGGAUGGAUGGACGUCACUGUUUGAUAUUACGCCCACUGGAGGGUGCUGUCGCACUGUAUAAAAACUUAUUUGUAGCAGUCGAAAAUGCAUUGUUCACAAUGUUUAAUGUGAAAAGUGUAACUUUAAAGGACAAUUACAAUGUAUUCAAGGUGAAUAAAGAUUGAGAACCAUCAGUUUGAGGGACCAUUUUUUCCAACCCGGUAAGUGAGAGUAAUAAUUACUUAUUUUUCUGUUUUUUGGAUACUUGAAAUUAGUUUUGGACGAUACCACAACUUUAGGUGCACAAUCCAAUACCAAGUAAGGCAAAGCAAGUUUAUUCAUAGAGCACAAUUGGUACAUGAAGCAAGUCAAAGUGGUUUAUACCAGUGGUUCUCAACCUUUUUUCAGUGAUGUACCCACUGGGAACAUUUCUGUAAUUCAAGUACCCCCUAAUCAGAGCAAAGCAUUUUUGGUUGAAAAAAAGAGAUAAAGAAGUCAAAUACAGCACUAUGUCAUCAGUUUCCAAUUUAUUAAAUUGUAUAAAAGUGCAAAAUAUUGUUCAUUUGUAUAGUGGUCUUUCUUGAACUAUUUGGAAAAAAAGAUAUAAAAAUAACUAAAAACUUGUUGAAAAAUAAACAGGUGAUUCAAUUAUAAAUAAAUAUUUUUACACAUAGAAGUAAUCAUCAACUUAAAGUGCCCUCUUUAGGGAUUGUAAUAGAGAUCCAUCUGGAUUCAUGAACUUAAUUCUAAACAUUUCUUCACAAAAAAAUAAAUCUUUAACAUCAAUAUUUAUGGAACAUGUCCACAAAAAGUCUAGCUGUAAACACUGAAUAUUGCAUUGUUGCAUUUCUUUUCUCAGUUUAUGAACUUACAUUCAUAUUUUGUUGAAGUAUUUAUUAUUCAAUAAAUAUAUUUAUAAAGGAUGUUUUAAUCGUUGCUAUUUUAAGAAUUUUUUUUUUUUUAAUCUCACGUACCCCUUGGCAUACCUUUCAAGUACCCCCAUUUGAGAACCACUGGUUUAUACAAUAUUACAAGAAAGCAAAAACAAAAACAAAAUAAUCAUGAUUAAAAUGAAAAUCAAAAUGAAAAAUCUCUUAAGCAACUAAAACAAUAUUUUAUAUUAAAUAAUAAUACAUUAAAAUGAAUUUUUAAAAAAAGGCAAAUUGAG